Molecule: unclassified non-coding RNA, 209 nt
Filed under: Hevea brasiliensis (rubber tree)
Lineage: Eukaryota; Viridiplantae; Streptophyta; Magnoliopsida; Malpighiales; Euphorbiaceae
Source: RNAcentral
AGUUACUCUCCUUUAGCUUCACUCCUAGCUGUGCUGAUCUAUCUGGCAGUUCACUACGCGCCGAAUGAUUCUUUGCUAUUUCCUCUCUCUCUUCUCGAUAUGCCUGAAAAAAAGAGUUCCUCAUAACAAGAUUAUGAUUUGGGGUUUCAUCAGACGGGAUCAAAGAUUGCGAGAUUCGCCAAUCAUAGGUAAGCGUGUUAAGGGUCGAG